UGGGGAAUAUUGCACAAUGGGCGCAAGCCUGAUGCAGCCAUGCCGCGUGUAUGAAGAAGGCCUUCGGGUUGUAAAGUACUUUCAGCGGGGAGGAAGGGAGUAAAGUUAAUACCUUUGCUCAUUGACGUUACCCGCAGAAGAAGCACCGGCUAACUCCGUGCCAGCAGCCGCGGUAAUACGGAGGGUGCAAGCGUUAAUCGGAAUUACUGGGCGUAAAGCGCACGCAGGCGGUUUGUUAAGUCAGAUGUGAAAUCCCCGGGCUCAACCUGGGAACUGCAUCUGAUACUGGCAAGCUUGAGUCUCGUAGAGGGGGGUAGAAUUCCAGGUGUAGCGAUGAAAUGCGUAGAGAUCUGGAGGAAUACCGGUGGCGAAGGCGGCCCCCUGGACGAAGACUGACGCUCAGGUGCGAAUGCGUGGGGAGCAAACAGG
RNAcentral lists this ribosomal RNA (429 nucleotides) under Chloroflexota bacterium. RNAcentral describes it as "Chloroflexi bacterium partial 16S ribosomal RNA". It matches the Rfam family "Bacterial small subunit ribosomal RNA", at positions 355 to 776 of the family's 1533-position model. The record is from RNAcentral. Lineage: Bacteria; Bacillati; Chloroflexota.